GACGCACGCUGGCGGCGUGCUUAACACAUGCAAGUCGAACGGAAAGGCCCUGCUUUUGUGGGGUGCUCGAGUGGCGAACGGGUGAGUAACACGUGAGUAACCUGCCCUUGACUUUGGGAUAACUUCAGGAAACUGGGGCUAAUACCGGAUAGGAGCUCCUGCUGCAUGGUGGGGGUUGGAAAGUUUCGGCGGUUGGGGAUGGACUCGCGGCUUAUCAGCGUGUUGGUGGGGUAGUGGCUUACCAAGGCGUUGACGGGUAGCCGGCCUGAGAGGGUGACCGGCCACACUGGGACUGAGAUACGGCCCAAACUCCUACGGGAGGCAGCAGUGGGGAAUAUUGCACAAUGGGCGGAAGCCUGAUGCAGCAACGCCGCGUGCGGGAUGACGGCCUUCGGGUUGUAAACCGCUUUCGCCUGUGACGAAGCGUGAGUGACGGUAAUGGGUAAAGAAGCACCGGCUAACUACGUG
Molecule: ribosomal RNA, 468 nt
Filed under: uncultured bacterium
Lineage: Bacteria
Description: partial 16S ribosomal RNA
Rfam family: Bacterial small subunit ribosomal RNA
Source: RNAcentral